GACGAACGCUGGCGGCGUGCCUAACACAUGCAAGUCAACUUGACUGAAGGAGCAAUCUGACAGUAGAGUGGCGCAAGGGUGCGUAACGCGUAAGUAACUUGCCCCAAGGUAAGGAAUAACGUCGAGAAAUCGGCGCUAAUACCUCAUAAUGCAGCGGAUCCGCAUGGAUAUGUUGUUAAAGGUUUACCGCCUUGGGAUAGGCUUGCGUCUGAUUAGCUAGUUGGUGUGGUAACGGCACACCAAGGCUACGAUUAGUAACUGGUCUGAGAGGAUGAUCAGUCACACUGGAACUGAGACACGGUCCAGACUCCUACGGGAGGCAGCAGUGAGGAAUAUUGGGCAAUGCUCGAAAGAGUGACCCAGCAACGCCGCGUGGAGGAUGAAGGUAUUCUAUAUCGUAAACUCCUGUGAGAGCAGACGAAGACAGAUUAUUAAUCUGGAUGACUGUAUGCUCAGAGGAAGCCCCGGCUAACUACGU
RNAcentral lists this ribosomal RNA (478 nucleotides) under uncultured bacterium. RNAcentral's name for it is "bacterial SSU rRNA". It matches the Rfam family "Bacterial small subunit ribosomal RNA", at positions 28 to 506 of the family's 1533-position model. The record is from RNAcentral.